CAGUCGCCGCGGUAAUACGAAGGUCCCGAGCGUUGUUCGGAAUCACUGGGCGUAAAGGGAGCGUAGGCGGCGUGGUAAGUCAGAUGUGAAAUCCCGGGGCUCAACCCCGGAACUGCAUCCGAUACUGCCAUGCUAGAGGCUUGGAGAGGUAGCUGGAAUUCUUGGUGUAGCAGUGAAAUGCGUGGAGAUCAAGAGGAACACUCGUGGCGAAAGCGAGCUACUGGACAAUAACUGACGCUGAGGCUCGAAGGCCAGGGUAGCGAACAGGAUUAGAUACCCCAGUAGUCCCUGUCUCUUAUAC
RNAcentral lists this ribosomal RNA (301 nucleotides) under uncultured bacterium. RNAcentral describes it as "partial 16S ribosomal RNA". It matches the Rfam family "Bacterial small subunit ribosomal RNA", at positions 509 to 807 of the family's 1533-position model. The record is from RNAcentral.